RNAcentral lists this ribosomal RNA (678 nucleotides) under Triticum aestivum (bread wheat). RNAcentral describes it as "partial small subunit ribosomal RNA". Lineage: Eukaryota; Viridiplantae; Streptophyta; Magnoliopsida; Poales; Poaceae. The record is from RNAcentral.
GCCACCGCCACCGCGUGGCCGAUUGGAGGGUAUACAUCGCUUAUCCCUCUCGUGUUUCUUUCUGUUGUAGCAGUACUAGCGGUAUGCGUAGAUGUCUCUACUAUAUGCGUAGUACAUGCUCUGUUAGAUCAUAAUCAGUAUGUUAUCAAUGCUGUCCAUGUCAUGCUCAUGAUUUAUUCAUGGAUUAAUUUAAUCGGAAAACUGCCUAUUUUCUCAUCAAUCCAAAAACCUAAUAUCUGUAGGAGUUUUUCGAAUUCUGGUUUUGCUGCUGCACUGAAACCGUCCCCGUUUACGGGGACGUACUUUAAGCGUUGGCAGACUAAAACCACCUUAUGGCUCACGGCCAUGAACGUGUUCUGGGUCGCCGGUGUGACUCCUACAGGAACGAUCGCUCCUGAACAGGAGAAGGCGUUUAAGGAGGCCACCGUGGUGUUCCUCGGGGCAGUUCUGAGCGUGAUUGGAGAUAAGCUGGUUGAUGCAUAUUUACAUAUGCGGUCUGCCAAGGACUUGUGGGAGGCGCUCGAAUCUAAGUUCGGGGCUGCCGAUGCAGGGAGCGAGAUGUAUAUUAUAGAGCAGUUCCACGAUUACAAGAUGGUUGAAAACCGUCCUGUAUUGGAGCAGGCUCAUGAGAUAAUAUGCAUUGUUAAGGAGCUUGAGCUUCUUAAGUGCGAGUUACCG